Molecule: ribosomal RNA, 465 nt
Filed under: Vreelandella stevensii
Lineage: Bacteria; Pseudomonadati; Pseudomonadota; Gammaproteobacteria; Oceanospirillales; Halomonadaceae
Description: partial 16S ribosomal RNA
Rfam family: Bacterial small subunit ribosomal RNA
Source: RNAcentral
CCUACGGGAGGCUGCAGUGGGGAAUAUUGGACAAUGGGCGAAAGCCUGAUCCAGCCAUGCCGCGUGUGUGAAGAAGGUCUUCGGGUUGUAAAGCACUUUCAGUGGGGAAGAAAGCCUUGGGGCUAAUACCCUCGAGUAUGGACAUCACCCACAGAAGAAGCACCGGCUAACUCCGUGCCAGCAGCCGCGGUAAUACGGAGGGUGCGAGCGUUAAUCGGAAUUACUGGGCGUAAAGCGCGCGUAGGCGGUCUGAUAAGCCGGUUGUGAAAGCCCCGGGCUCAACCUGGGAACGGCAUCCGGAACUGUCAAGCUAGAGUACAGGAGAGGAAGGUAGAAUUCCCGGUGUAGCGGUGAAAUGCGUAGAGAUCGGGAGGAAUACCAGUGGCGAAGGCGGCCUUCUGGACUGACACUGACGCUGAGGUGCGAAAGCGUGGGUAGCAAACAGGAUUAGAUACCCUUGUAGUC